UUUGGAGUCAUUACUAGCACAUGGAUCUUGUUUGAGUAACCUGAUACCUUCUGACAUUCAUUAGUGCAAUAAACAUGUAAGAUUUGGAAAAUAAGUAAGUAUUGGAAUGUCUUGACAUCUUGUAGGGUGGAAACAAGUUCAUUGGUAAUGUAGGACAUCAUACAAAACCAUUAUGGAUCACAUGUUACUGAAUAACUUUGGAAACUUUCUUAAUAGAACAAUUGUUCACUUUCAUGCCAAAGAUAUGGUAUAGAGUAUGCUUUAUAUACCUAACUGUCAACCUUCAAUACUAGUCCCAAAUGAACUUCUCAUCUUUUCGGAUUACUUAUCUACAAUGAACAUAUAUAGCAAUCUAGUAUUAGCAACCAAAUGUCACAAUUCAAUUAUUUGAAUUCACCAAACUAGUGGUUGAGUAGUAAGCCUUAAUUACACCAUAAAGGGUGUCACUUUAACCCUCUUAUACUCCAAUUACAUUCACAUGCCAUGCAUAUUCAUACAACAUCCUCCAAUAUCAAGUUUGGAUUCAUUUAUCCUUCCAACCAAUCCAUUAAACCAAAUUGAGCCAUAGACAUAAAUAAUCAUCAAUUCAAUAGUAUAUCACCAUAUCCACCUUCCAUA
This 618-nucleotide long non-coding RNA is filed under the name Capsicum annuum. Its description in RNAcentral is "long non-coding RNA (CANN_LNC007814)". The record is from RNAcentral. Lineage: Eukaryota; Viridiplantae; Streptophyta; Magnoliopsida; Solanales; Solanaceae.